GGAAGGAUCAUUGUCGAAACCUGCACAGCAGAACGAUGAAGAACGUAGCGAAAUGCGAUACUUGGUGUGAAUUGCAGAAUCCCGUGAACCAUCGAGUCUUUGAACGCAAGUUGCGCCCGACGCCUUCGGGCUGAGGGCACGCCUGCCUGGGCGUCACGCAUCGCGUCGUCCCCUCCCAUUCCCUCACGGGUUUGGUUAUGGGACGGAUAAUGGCUUCCCGUUAGCUCGGUUAGCCCAAAAAGGAUCCCUCAUCGACGGAUGUCACAACCAGUGGUGGUUGAAAGAUCAUUGGUGCUGUUGUGCUUCACCCUGUCGCUUGCUAGGGCAUCGUCAUAAACUAACGGCGUGUAAUGCGCCUUCGACCGCGACCCCAGGCCAGACGGGACUACCCGCUGAG
Molecule: ribosomal RNA, 397 nt
Filed under: embryophyte environmental sample
Lineage: Eukaryota; Viridiplantae; Streptophyta
Description: eukaryotic LSU rRNA
Rfam family: 5.8S ribosomal RNA (bases 32-156)
Source: RNAcentral